ACGCCGAUGGUGAAGCGGUUAUCAUGCUUGCCUUCCAUUUGUAUGUGAUAGCAAGCGGCAGGGGUUCGACUCCCCUUCGGCGUA
Molecule: non-coding RNA, 84 nt
Organism: Dentipellis sp. KUC8613
Lineage: Eukaryota; Fungi; Basidiomycota; Agaricomycetes; Russulales; Hericiaceae
Source: the annotation of a GenBank genome assembly